GAUGAACGCUGGCGGCGUGCCUAAUACAUGCAAGUCGAGCGAAGGGACGUGAAGCUUGCUUCUCUUCUAUUAGCGUCGGAAGGGGGAGUAACACGUGGAUACCCUCCCUAUAAGACUGGGAUACCUUCGUUAAACCGGAGCUAAUACCGGAUAAUCUUUUUAACCUCAUGGUUCAAGAUUGAUAGACGGUCUUGCUUUCACUUAUACUUGCAUCCGCGCUGCAUUUGCUAGUUGGUAAGGUAACGGCUUACAAAGGCAACGAUGCAUAGCCGACCUGAGAGGGGGAUCGGCAACACUGGAACUGAGAAAGGGUCAAGACUCCUACGGGAGGAAGAAGGAGGAAAUCUUCCGAAAGGAGCGAAAGCCUGACGGAGAAACGCCGCGUGAGUGAGGAAGGUCUUCGGAUCGAAAAACUCUGUUAUUAGGGAAGAACAUAUGUGUAAGUAAAGGUGCAAAGAUUGACGGUACCGAAUCAGAAAGCCACGGCUAACUACGUG
RNAcentral lists this ribosomal RNA (497 nucleotides) under uncultured bacterium. RNAcentral describes it as "partial 16S ribosomal RNA". It matches the Rfam family "Bacterial small subunit ribosomal RNA", at positions 28 to 507 of the family's 1533-position model. The record is from RNAcentral.